GAUGAACGCUGGCGGCGUGCCUAAUACAUGCAAGUCGAACGCUGGAAAUCUAGCUUGCUCGAUUGAAGGAGUGGCGAACGGGUGAGUAAUACAUAAGCAACCUACCCACGAAGACUGGGAUAAUCUCUGGAAACGGGGACUAAUACCGGAUAGGUAAUCGGAAGGCAUCUUCUGAUUAUUAAAGGUUAAAAACACUGGUGGAUGGGCUUAUGGCGCAUUAGUUAGUUGGUGAGGUAACGGCCCACCAAGACGAUGAUGCGUAGCCGGCCUGAGAGGGUGAACGGCGACAUUGGGACUGAGACACGGCCCAGACACCUACGGGAGGCAGCAGUAGGGAAGUUUCGGCCAUGGGGGAAACCCUGAACGAGCAACGCCGCGUGAGUGAGGACGGCCUUCGGGUUGUAAAGCUCUGUUGUAAGGGAAGAACGGUAGAUAGAGAAUAUCUAAAUGACGGUACCUUACCAGAAAGCCACGGCUAACUACGUG
This 486-nucleotide ribosomal RNA is filed under the name uncultured bacterium. Its description in RNAcentral is "partial 16S ribosomal RNA". It matches the Rfam family "Bacterial small subunit ribosomal RNA", at positions 28 to 507 of the family's 1533-position model. The record is from RNAcentral.